Long non-coding RNA from Mya arenaria, 500 nucleotides. RefSeq lists it as uncharacterized. The record is from RefSeq and is a predicted model, not a curated record. The transcript is spliced from 3 exons. Lineage: Eukaryota; Metazoa; Mollusca; Bivalvia; Myida; Myidae.
CAGACACCAGUUUAAUAUUUGGCCUACAACGGUCCCUGGCCCGGAGCAGCCCUCAUGUGUUACAAAUGCAACACGGACUCUCACCCCAACUGCGCAGACAACCCCAGCAUCAACAUGACCGUCGACCACGAACCCAGCGCUUUCUUAGGUGGACCAUGCAUUGCCUGUUCCAAGACUAAACUAUUAUUUUCUAGUUCUGUGAAACGGGAUUGCGUGACAACGGAGUUGUUAAUCAUCAGAGAUGGGUGCAGCGGGUUCGGGAGUGUCUGCUACUGUCGCACCGAUUUGUGCAACCGUUCCGUCACCAUGGCAACACCAGCGACAUGGAUGCUAUUGUUGUUUCCCUUAGGAGCGAUAUUUACAAACAAAAUAUAAGCUUUACGAGUGUUGAACAAAAGUGUUGGAAAAAAUGCAUCAAAAACAUUAUAAUUCUUCACUCUCAUGUCAGACUAAGGUUCGAUCUUUUGUAUAUAUUUCUAUUGUCUACAAAAAUGUGAUCA